UCUGUGAUGCCCUUAGAUGUUCUGGGCUGCACGCGCGCGACACUGAUCUAUUCAACGAGUGGCUGUGUCGAUAGACUUGGCAAAUCUUGUGAAAGUAGAUCGUGAUGGGGAUUGAUGCUUGUAAUUGUUCAUCAUGAACGAGGAAUUCCUAGUAAACGCAAGUCAUCAACUUGCAUUGAUUACGUCCCUGCCCUUUGUACACACCGCCCGUCGCACCUACCGAUUGAAUGGUCCGAUGAACACUUUGGAUUUUAGUAAA
RNAcentral lists this ribosomal RNA (259 nucleotides) under Blastocystis hominis. Its description in RNAcentral is "partial 18S ribosomal RNA". It matches the Rfam family "Eukaryotic small subunit ribosomal RNA", at positions 1461 to 1724 of the family's 1831-position model. Lineage: Eukaryota; Bigyra; Opalinata; Blastocystidae. The record is from RNAcentral.